Mirounga angustirostris (Northern elephant seal) is the source of this 534-nucleotide long non-coding RNA. RefSeq lists it as uncharacterized. Lineage: Eukaryota; Metazoa; Chordata; Mammalia; Carnivora; Phocidae. The record is from RefSeq and is a predicted model, not a curated record. The transcript has 3 exons.
CCCUCCAGGCCGGCGCCGCGUCGUCAGGCGCCGGGUGAAGGUUUCCACUCAGAAGUGAAUUGUGUGAGAAUUGGUCAGGCUCUUAGGUUAAAAAACGUAUCCUAGAAAGUAAAUUAAUAUUCGCAUUCCUGACAAACGUUCCUACUCUGAGCGCUCGGUGAAUGCUUCUAACCACACCUCUAAUAAAGGAUUUUCAGUGACUAUUAGCGACUGCGCCAAGAAGAAAAACAAGAUGCCUGUGCCGGGCGCUGUCCGCUCCCUUUCAUCUUCCACCCGCCGGAACCUUCUGGCAAGAAGGGGAGGAGGACGACCCGAGCAAAAAGGGAAGAGUAUUUGCACCACCGGGUGGACUACCAAAGCUGAGCUCUCAGGAGGAAGAGAUUUUGUCCCAGUGAGAUAAUCAGGCUUUUCUUGACCCCAGCAGAAUCUCAGGGGACCCAGCUUCAACGGGUCGUUUUGAGGAUUGUCAUUCCCAAAUUAUAAACGAGGAGAAUGGAGACUCAGAGAAUACAAGACUUUCCCAAGGUCAACAAG